AAUUAUAUAGUCUAAAAAGGAUUUUAAAUUGCAAAUUUAAAGGUAAAAUUUUUUUAUAAUUU
RNAcentral lists this transfer RNA (62 nucleotides) under Curculionidae sp. 5 AH-2016. RNAcentral describes it as "tRNA-Cys". The record is from RNAcentral. Lineage: Eukaryota; Metazoa; Arthropoda; Insecta; Coleoptera; Curculionidae.